Octodon degus (degu) is the source of this 111-nucleotide small nuclear RNA. The record is from Ensembl. Lineage: Eukaryota; Metazoa; Chordata; Mammalia; Rodentia; Octodontidae.
GCGCUCGCUUCAGCAGCACAUAUACUAAAAUUGGAACGAUACAGAGAAGAUUAGCAUGGCCCCUGUGUGUGCAAGGAUGACACGCAAAUUCGUGAAGGACCUUUCUUGUAU